This 634-nucleotide RNase P RNA is filed under the name Acidobacteriota bacterium. Its description in RNAcentral is "Acidobacteria bacterium (bioreactor metagenome) RNase P RNA component class A". It matches the Rfam family "Bacterial RNase P class A". Rfam says of the family: Ribonuclease P (RNase P) is a ubiquitous endoribonuclease, found in archaea, bacteria and eukarya as well as chloroplasts and mitochondria. Lineage: Bacteria; Pseudomonadati; Acidobacteriota. The record is from RNAcentral.
GCAGUCGAUCAGGCGAUCGCUGCGUCCUGGUGUGGUGUAUACCGCAUCGGGGCGGAGAGGAAAGUCCGAACUCCACAGGGCAGUGCGCCGGGUAACUCCCGGGCGGGGCAACCCGACGGACCAGUGGCACAGAAAAUAUACCGCCUUUCGACUCGGGCCCUGCGGGCCCUCGCUCAAGGCAGGCCUUUGGGGCUCAGCAGGCUCGAGGCAGGGCUUGGGGUUCAGCGGUGAGUCCUGACGAUGGACUUGCCCGGACGCGAGACAGGGUGAGUCCUGACGAUGGACUUGCCCGGACGCGAGACAGGGUGAGUCCUGACGAUGGGCUUGCCCGGACGCGAGACAGGGUGAGUCCUGACGAUGGGCCUGCCCUGAGCGAGGGCCCGCAGGGCCCGAGUCGAAGGGUAAGGGUGAAAAGGUGCGGUAAGAGCGCACCGCGUCGCCGGCAACGGCGAUGGCAGGCAAAACCCCGCACGGAGCAAGACCAAAUAGGGAGGCGCCUGAGGACGGCCCGUCCGAAGCCUCCGGGUAGGUCGCUCGAGGCCGCCAGUGAUGGCGGCCCUAGAGGAAUGAUCGCCACGGCCGAUACCUUCGGGGAUCGGCCGGACAGGAUUCGGCUUAUCGGCCGAUUGCGGCG